Molecule: ribosomal RNA, 207 nt
Filed under: uncultured bacterium
Lineage: Bacteria
Description: partial 16S ribosomal RNA
Rfam family: Bacterial small subunit ribosomal RNA
Source: RNAcentral
CGUGUAGGCUGCUCUGCAAGUCGGGUGUGAAAGCCCUGGGCUCAACCUAGGAAGUGCACUCGAAACUGCGGAGCUGGAGUCCUGGAGAGGAAGGCGGAAUUCUCGGUGUAGAGGUGAAAUUCGUAGAUAUCGAGAGGAACACCGGUGGCGAAGGCGGCCUUCUGGACAGUGACUGACGCUGAGACGCGAAAGCGUGGGGAGCAAACA